UACAGAGGUCUCAAGCGUUGUUCGGAUUCAUUGGGCGUAAAGGGUGUGUAGGUGGCGCGCUAAGUCGGGUGUGAAAUUUCGGAGCUUAACUCCGAAACUGCAUUCGAUACUGGCGUGCUUGAGGACUGGAGAGGUGACUGGAAUUCAUGGUGUAGCAGUGAAAUGCGUAGAGAUCAUGAGGAAGACCAGUGGCGAAGGCGGGUCUCUGGACAGUUCCUGACACUGAGACACGAAGGCCAGGGGAGCAAACGGG
This 253-nucleotide ribosomal RNA is filed under the name uncultured bacterium. RNAcentral's name for it is "partial 16S ribosomal RNA". It matches the Rfam family "Bacterial small subunit ribosomal RNA", at positions 524 to 776 of the family's 1533-position model. The record is from RNAcentral.